UAGUCGGCAAUGAAAAAAGAGUAGUACAUUUACUGAGGGUUUAACAGAGAGUCUGUGGCAGGUGCAAACAGGCAGCCCGGUAAAUCGAAUGGACUUUUGAGCUUCUGAAUUUUUCAGGCGCUUCCCUGCGUUAUCGGGGACCUAUGCAUUAUUCUGCAUAGGGCAGAGUGACUCAGUAUUUGAGUAAUUAGGGUGGCAACGCGGACCAUUCGUCCCUAUU
This 220-nucleotide non-coding RNA is filed under the name Bacillus sp. (in: firmicutes). Its description in RNAcentral is "Bacillus sp. T-box sequence". It matches the Rfam family "T-box leader". Rfam says of the family: Uncharged tRNA acts as the effector for transcription antitermination of genes in the T-box leader family. T-boxes are found upstream of many aminoacyl-tRNA synthetase genes and some amino acid biosynthetic genes usually in Gram-positive bacteria. Lineage: Bacteria; Bacillati; Bacillota; Bacilli; Caryophanales; Bacillaceae. The record is from RNAcentral.